UGGGGAAUUUUGGACAAUGGGCGCAAGCCUGAUCCAGCCAUGCCGCGUGCGGGAAGAAGGCCUUCGGGUUGUAAACCGCUUUUGUCAGGGAAGAAAUCUUCUGAGUUAAUACCGUCGGGAGGAUGACGGUACCUGAAGAAUAAGCACCGGCUAACUACGUGCCAGCAGCCGCGGUAAUACGUAGGGUGCAAGCGUUAAUCGGAAUUACUGGGCGUAAAGCGUGCGCAGGCGGUUUUGUAAGACAGAGGUGAAAUCCCCGGCUCAACCUGGGAACUGCCUUUGUGACUGCAAGGCUUGAGUGCGGCAGAGGGGGAUGGAAUUCCGCGUGUAGCAGUGAAAUGCGUAGAUAUGCGGAGGAACACCGAUGGCGAAGGCAAUCCCCUGGGCCUGCACUGACGCUCAUGCACGAAAGCGUGGGGAGCAAACAGGAUUAGAUACCCUGGUAGUCCACGCCCUAAAACGAUGUCAACUGGUUGUUGGGAAGGUUCCUUCUCAGUAACGUAGCUAACGCGUGAAGUUGACCGCCUGGGGAGUACGGCCGCAAGGUUGAAACUC
RNAcentral lists this ribosomal RNA (555 nucleotides) under uncultured bacterium. RNAcentral's name for it is "partial 16S ribosomal RNA". It matches the Rfam family "Bacterial small subunit ribosomal RNA", at positions 355 to 902 of the family's 1533-position model. The record is from RNAcentral.